Molecule: long non-coding RNA, 947 nt
Organism: Helianthus annuus (common sunflower)
Lineage: Eukaryota; Viridiplantae; Streptophyta; Magnoliopsida; Asterales; Asteraceae
Exons: 3
Source: RefSeq, a predicted model, not a curated record
GCUAUUUCUGUCUCACAUCUGUUCAAAACACCUGCAACAAGAGAGAGGCUUCUUGCUUUCCGAAGACUCAACCCUGCAGUAAGAUCAUUCAAAACAAGCACCCAGGAUUCACAAGAGGUAUCCUCAGGCUCAGUCACCAUGUCAAGUGCCGGAAAAUCUUCCAAAUCUGCCUCCAAGUUCAGCAUUGCUGAUCUUGACACUGUACGAUCCUCCAGAAGAAGGCCACUGCAAGCCCUACUGUUUCGAUCCCCAAGGCACCCACUAAAGGAAGGGGUGGCAAGAAAAGGAAAACCUCUGAGGCUGAGGAUCUGCAAGGCCUGCCACUGAUCCGCCACCAGUUCCUUGAAUACUUCAAUGAUAAAUUUGCUGAGAUCGAAGACUAUGUUGGGAGCGUUGAAGAGCUGGACAAGAAGUAUGUAGACCUUCAACAAGUUGCGGUGCUCAAGGAUCACAAGAUUGCUGACCUCCAAAAAGCCCUUCAAGACGCCAAGACCGAGACGGCUAAGGUCCUGAUCAACACUGACUACGAGAAGCAUGAGCUCAUGGAAGGUGCAAAGGUCUCCGCUGCCAUUACUAUGUACAAGACAAAACUGAAGAUGGCCCAGGAAGCUCAGGAUCCUGACUUCGACAGAAGCAGCUGGGAUGUUGAGGGCUGGAAGGCGAGGCUAGCUGAGCUGGAGGACGAAGAUGAGGCUGAAGAGGUUUUAGCAAUCGAGGCUGGAGGCAGUGGAAAGGAUCAUGGUGGAGAAGCUAGUGGAGCGGCUGAGGAUGAUGCAGCUAAGGUGUAGGCUACAGCAAUGGGCGAUGAUGGACACUUCUAGACAUAGCCGGAGCCCAUUUUUUAAGUUUGGUAGUGGUUUUUGGUUGUGAUGUUUUCGUUAAACAAUGGUUGGUCUGUACUUUGAAUAAUGGUUUUUAGGGUUAAGGAUCUAUGAUCCUUUGAACAA